GACGGAGGGUGCAAGCGUUGUUCGGAUUGACUGGGCGUAAAGGGCGUGUAGGCGGUUGGUCAAGUCUGAUGUGAAAGCCCGGGGCUCAGCUCCGGAAGGGCAUCGGAAACUAGCCAGCUGGAGCGCGAUAGAGGAGGGCGGAAUUCCUGGUGUAGCGGUGAAAUGCGUAGAUAUCAGGAGGAACACCCGUGGCGAAGGCGGCUCUCUGGGACGGUACUGACGCUGAGACGCGAAAGCGUGGGGAGCGAACAGG
RNAcentral lists this ribosomal RNA (253 nucleotides) under uncultured bacterium. RNAcentral's name for it is "partial 16S ribosomal RNA". It matches the Rfam family "Bacterial small subunit ribosomal RNA", at positions 524 to 776 of the family's 1533-position model. The record is from RNAcentral.